CCAGAGCUGACCCCGUUUACUUACGAAGCAGUCUCAUCUAAGGCAGACAUCAUGAAAUUCGCUGUACUAGCCGUCGUGAUUUGUGCCAUGGUAGCUGUUGAUGGAGCACCUAGCAAAAGGCUACUUGAUUUCGGUGGUUUAAAUAACUGUCAAGUUACGGUAAUGUGUUUCGUCAAUCCAUGUAUGUUUGCUAUGUGUCCUGGUAAUCCUGGGGCUACCUGCAGACAAGGCUGUGCUUGUUCUGCUGUAUGGACUGAUACCUCUGGUAAUACGAUCACCUGUUGAAACUCCUGUUAUAUGUCUUAAAAUACUUACAAUAAUUAUAUAUCAAUGUGUGAAAUAAAAAUUAAAAAUUAAUCACUGAAUUUAUAAUUAGUUAUAUGUGAUUAAUCCAACUAUAUGUAAUUGCCCCUGUUCCAAUCUAAGUUUACCAUUUUCCCACAAUAUACUCGUCAUUUCACCUCACUCCUUAAAUACAUAAUGACGUCAUUUAUACCAAUUAUUUCACAAAUACGAUCAGAUGGUAUAUAAUUCCCAAAGGUGUACAAGAAAUAGCACUUGUCGUCCGGUCAUGAACGGAACUUGUUAUUCCCUUUUAAACCAAUUCAGAUUGAACCAUAGUCAGGAAAGUAUUUAUAGUUUAUUGGCUUAUGUCCGGUUUCUAUGGAAUCAGUUCAUUUGGAGGUGCAGACUUGAGUAACCUAGUGUUUGAAGAUCCAAGAUGGCGGUCAACGAAUAAUUGACCUAUAUUCUUCCCUGUGUUGUUUCUUCAGUUUAGUGCAUAAGAUAAAUGCAAAGUACAAAAAAAUAAAC
Patella vulgata (common limpet) is the source of this 813-nucleotide long non-coding RNA. RefSeq lists it as uncharacterized. The record is from RefSeq and is a predicted model, not a curated record. The transcript has 4 exons. Lineage: Eukaryota; Metazoa; Mollusca; Gastropoda; Patellidae.